Molecule: ribosomal RNA, 403 nt
Filed under: Actinomycetes bacterium
Lineage: Bacteria; Bacillati; Actinomycetota; Actinomycetes
Description: Actinobacteria bacterium partial 16S ribosomal RNA
Rfam family: Bacterial small subunit ribosomal RNA
Source: RNAcentral
UGGGGAAUAUUGCACAAUGGGGGAAACCCUGAUGCAGCGACGCCGCGUGAACGAAGAAGGUAUUCGUAUCGUAAAGUUUUGUCCUAUGGGAAGAUAAUGACAGUACCAUAGAAGAAAGCUCCGGCUAAAUACGUGCCAGCAGCCGCGGUAAUACGUAUGGAGCGAGCGUUGUCCGGAAUUAUUGGGCGUAAAGGGUACGCAGGCGGUUUAAUAAGUCGAAUGUUAAAGAUCGGGGCUCAGCCCCGUAAAGCAUUGGAAACUGAUAAACUUGAGUAGUGGAGAGGAAAGUGGAAUUCCUAGUGUAGUGGUGAAAUACGUAGAUAUUAGGAGGAAUACCAGUAGCGAAGGCGACUUUCUGGACACAAACUGACGCUGAGGUACGAAAGCGUGGGGAGCAAACAGG